This is a long non-coding RNA of Balaenoptera ricei (Rice's whale), 554 nucleotides long. RefSeq lists it as uncharacterized. The record is from RefSeq and is a predicted model, not a curated record. NCBI's taxonomy places the organism in Eukaryota, Metazoa, Chordata, Mammalia, Artiodactyla, Balaenopteridae. The transcript has 3 exons.
GCCGGGCCCGAGGGCGGCCCGGGCGCUGGAGCUGCCAGCAAACUUUCCCGUCUGAAUUCCAGAUCGAGAGCCUGGGAACCACACUCUGCCCAGACUGGAAAACUACAAUAAAAAAAACAUAGCCAUGAAAAUAAGUGAGAUUAAAACCUGCCGGCUUCACUUCCUGGAGGCUUUUUGUUGGGUCUUGAAACUAGGAGUCUUUGCGGGUCAUCCUCAAAUUCAUCUUGACAGAUUCAACCAAUCAGAAACUGAGUCUGCGUACAUUCCCUAAAGACAGGCGCUACGGAAUGUCCGAAUUCCCUCCAGAAUGUCCGGAUUCCCUCCAUUCUGCAUUCGCCCAAGAUGCAGCAAGACAUAGGGGUGCGUGUGGUCUCAGGAAUUAAACAGACCUGGUUUGGAUUCCCACUAGGUACUUGCUGUGCAGUGUUAGGCAAGUUAUAUACUAUCCUUGAGCUUGUUUCCUUAAAAAUAGAUAUAAUAAAACUACCCCUUUGAAUUAUUGAAUAUUAAGUAGUUAUAUGUGAAAGCAUCUUAAACAGUCCCUGCUCCAUAGG